Molecule: long non-coding RNA, 1261 nt
Filed under: Lactuca sativa (garden lettuce)
Lineage: Eukaryota; Viridiplantae; Streptophyta; Magnoliopsida; Asterales; Asteraceae
Description: long non-coding RNA (LSAT_LNC008459)
Source: RNAcentral
AAUAUAUAGUUUCUAAAUUUGAUCUAAAUCUAAACAAUUUUGUUUUAAGAUUCCUCGGGAUUGAAGCAGUAUUUACUUUAUUUGCGUUGACGCGACUUGUUCAUAGCUUCUUGGACACCAUGUAUUUUUCUUCCGAGCUUCCUUUAUCUUUGUUUAUAUAUGUAUCAUCUACUUUCUAAUCUCCUAACCUGUCUGAAAAACAUGUAUUCCGGCGACGCACCUCCAUCCUUCUCAACCGGAGGCCUAAAUCACAUCGAUCAAGAACAGUUCCAGGUCGAUGCACAACCACAAUCAUGGCAGAAUCAACCUCCGUCGCAAGGAUCCAUGGGACAUGGCCAAGGAAACUCAGUGAAUCAGUUCCAAGAUGGGAGUAGCUACCGUGGGUUACCCCAACCCGAUCCGUUCGUUGUCGGCGACAGUGAAAAAGGUCCGUCUUUCACAGCUCUCGGCCAUGGCCAAGGGAUCUCGUAUAAUCAAGAUGGGUUGUCCAACCGUGAUCAGUAUGGUGUCUCCGGUCAACCACUGUCUGUUGGUGCUAUGGUGAAGGGUGGGUUUUCUAAUCCUUCCGGCGGUGGUAUCGAUCAUUAUGGUGAUGAUUCAGCUCCGGGGCUUAGCGAUGUAGCUAGAAGAGAAAAAUCUCAAACUGGGGGAUCUUCUGCUGACAUUCAGGGUUCUUCGGAUCCACUAGAGUUUGUUGGGAUGAGUUUGGUUGGAAAAAAUUUCAAGAAGUAUUAUCCUGAUGCUUACUACAAGGAGAAAGAUGAUUACUGAUUUGUUAUGAUUUGAAUUGUGAAUCUGAAUAUGAAUCUGUUUUUGUAAAAUUUCAGAUUUAUAAUGUUUCAAUAAACAGUUAGUUUGAUUUAUGGUAUUAAUUUGUUAUUGAUGAACAAGUAGAAGAUGCACAAUCUAUCAUCAUUUCUCUCAAGAACUCCAAAACUUUAUGAAAUCUUAAAUGGCAAUCAGAAGAUUUACCAACAUGGAUUUGCAGAACGUUUAAUUUUCGAAUUAAGAAAAGAAUGGAAGAAGUUUGUGGAUGCCUGAAUGGUACCUAAUACCGAGGGUCCAGCAAUAAUCGGAAAAACACAUCCACUAGCUUUAUUGCCCUUUUUUUCUUCUUUACUUUUUUGUCGUCGGUGUUAAACAGUCUUAAAUAUAUUCCCGACAAAUAAGUUACAUAAAUGGUCCCUAAAAUUUAUAAAAAUUCAAAAUUUUUAUGGUUGAUAAUGUUUUUGGUGAAAAUUUUAUUAGGGUUUCUAAAACC